This 461-nucleotide ribosomal RNA is filed under the name uncultured bacterium. RNAcentral describes it as "bacterial SSU rRNA". It matches the Rfam family "Bacterial small subunit ribosomal RNA", at positions 32 to 521 of the family's 1533-position model. The record is from RNAcentral.
AAUCAACGCUGGCGGCGUGCCUAACACAUGCAAGUCGAACGAGAAAGUGGAGCAAUCCAUGAGUAAAGUGGCGCACGGGUGAGUAACACGUGACUAACCUACCCUUGAGUGGGGGAUAACCUAGGGAAACCUGGGCUAAUACCGCAUAAUACCUACGGGUCAAAGGAGCAAUUCGCUUUAGGAGGGGGUCGCGGCAGAUUAGUUAGUUGGCGGGGUAAUGGCCCACCAAGACGAUGANCUGUAUCCGGCCUGAGAGGGCGCACGGACACACUGGAACUGAAACACGGUCCAGACUCCUACGGGAGGCAGCAGUGGGGAAUUUUGCGCAAUGGGGGAAACCCUGACGCAGCAACGCCGCGUGGAGGAUGAAGACCCUUGGGUCGUAAACUCCUUUCGAUCGGGACGAUAAUGACGGUACCGGAAGAAGAAGCCCCGGCUAACUUCGUGCCAGCAGCCGCAGU